UACGUAGGGGGCAAGCGUUGUCCGGAUUUAUUGGGCGUAAAGAGCGUGUAGGCGGUCAGGUAGGUCCGUUGUGAAAACUCGAGGCUCAACCUCGAGACGCCGAUGGAAACCAUCUGACUAGAGUCCGGAAGAGGAGAGUGGAAUUCCUGGUGUAGCGGUGAAAUGCGCAGAUAUCAGGAAGAACACCCGUGGCGAAGGCGGCUUUCUGGACGACAACUGACGCUGAGACGCGAAAGCGUGGGGAGCAAACAGG
RNAcentral lists this ribosomal RNA (253 nucleotides) under uncultured bacterium. RNAcentral's name for it is "partial 16S ribosomal RNA". It matches the Rfam family "Bacterial small subunit ribosomal RNA", at positions 524 to 776 of the family's 1533-position model. The record is from RNAcentral.